AACGGCAUGUCACCGUGUGCCUCGCGGCCUUCCAUCCACCGCCCAGCCAGAAUCCAACGGACAGCAGCACUCCAAGGCAAAAACAACAUCCAGACACAGACCAAAUCGAGCACGGGUCAGCAGAAAAAUCUGGCGGGGAAGGCAAGGAAAAGGCGGGCUUUGGCGCGGCGAUUCGCCGGCGUCUCCUCGCCUCGCGGCCUUCGCCGGCCGCCGCCGCCGUCAGCCGUCGCCACUGAGGAGAGGCAGGGAUGAGCGCCGUCCGCCGCGGGAACCAGGGCCGAACGCCUCCGCGGGUCGGGGACAAGCGCCGUCCGCCGCGGGAGCCGAGGACGAGCGCCGCCGCGAGCUGGGGACCGUUCAUCAUCGUCAGCGACCUCUUCUCAGGCCCCCUCUCUCUCUCUCUUAUUCCAUUAGUGCCAGAGGCGGAGCCAGCUCCCGGGCUCGUCCGGCAACUCUUCACUGCAGAUUAGUCUGAUUACUUGCUUAGUAGUGAUUUUUGUUGGGGCAAAGCUAGCUGACAUCGCUAUGCACGAGCUUUGCCCAGGCUCCUCGCGUUGUCUCUGAUUAGUGCACUCAGAUGCAGGCAACAAAAUUGAAAUUAGUAUUUGUAUACUGGUAGAGCUAACCAUAAUGUACCUCCUGCUGUGGUAUUUGAUAUAAUUGGUUGUCCAGUCACCGGUAUAAUACUAAUAGUGACAAACUAUACUCUGAAUAAAUAUGGAGACUUGCAGCACUACACUCUGAAAAUAUUAGUCAGCACUACACUCUGAAUAAAUAUGGAGACUUGCAGCGAGUUAAGUACUUAUGUGCAUCUCGAUAAGACUAUAAUCUGCUAAGCUUUGUGGUUUCAACAUAGGAACUACUUCUAUUUUGAGUCUGCACUACAUUUCUGAAUAAAUAUAGAGACUUGCAGCGAGUAUUGUACUUCUAUUUUGAGUAUACACUGUGGAAUUUGGCAGAAUUGUGCGUUGUACGAUGGGAUCGAUUAGCAACAGGAUACCCGAAGUUGGUAUGCGGUUCAGAAAUUCGGAUGAGGCUUGGGAGUUCUGGGUGCAAUAUGGAGGUCACAUAGGCUUUGAUGUGAGGAAAAGAAAUACCAUCAGAAGCAGAAUUGAUGGAACAAUCACUUCAUGUAGAUUUGUUUGUUCCAAUGAAGACAUUCGAAGGAAAAGUCAAAUAGAUCACAAGCCGAAGCGCAUUAGAGCUGAAACAAGAACCAAUUGUAAAGUUCGGAUGAUUGUUUCAUUUGAUCGAGUGGCCAAAUUUUUUGAAGUCACCGGAGUUGAUUUGGAACACAAUCACCUCCUUCAAUUGCCACAAACCUGUCACUUGUUGGCAUCACAAAGGAAGAUUUCAGAUGUGCAAGCUUUAGAGAUAGAAAUAGCCGAUGAUUCUGGAAUUAUGCCAAAAGCUUCACAUGAGGUUGCAUGUCGUCGAGCUGGUGGGAAGUUCAACGUUGGUUACACUUUGACUGACCAAAAGAAUCAUUUGCGAACCAAGCGGCAGCGGGAGAUGGCUUAGGGACAGGCCGGUAGUAUGUUGAAGUUCUUUCGUGACAAGAUAGCUGGGAAUCCAUCAUUCCAAUAUCAUUUGCAGUUGGAUUGUGAGGAGCAUAUAGCCAACAUAUUCUGGGUUGAUGCUAAAAUGCUACUUGACUAUGCACACUUUGGUGAUGUUGUCACUUUUGACACUACAUUUGGCACGAACAAAGAGUAUAGGCCAUUUGGUAUUUUUCUUGGGCUCAAUCAGUUUAGAGAAACAACCAUUUUUGGUGCUGCAUUGAUGUUUGAUGAAACACGCGACUCAUUUAUAUGGCUCUUUGAGACAUUUCUAGCCGCACACAAUGAAAGGCAGCCUAGAACUAUCGAUACCGAUCAAGAUGCAGCAAUGGGAGGAGCCAUAGAGAAGGUCUUCACAGAAUCAUAUCAUGGACUGUGUACAUUUCAUAUCAUGCAAAAUGCUGUCAAACAUUUAACUCAAGUGGGAGUGGAGGAUGAAGUGGAGGAUGAAGAAAAAGAGCCUCAUAUUCUCACAGAUUUUGGUGCUUGUAUGUAUGGAUAUGAGGACAAGGCAACAUUUGAAGAAGCGUUUGACAAUAUGAGGCUCAAAGUGCAUAAGCAAACUUGGUUAGAUAGCAUCUACAAGGUGAAAGAAAAAUGGAGUGAGAAGUACACAAUUAAGUGAGAGCUUCAACAAUGCGUUGAAAAAUCAUUUGAAAUCAGAUUUUCAUAUUCUUCGGUUCUUGAUGCAUUUUGAGAGGACGGUGGAAGUAAAAAGAACAAAGGAAUUGGAAUCUGAAUUCAAUGCAAGAAAAUAUAUACCGAGAAUUAAGAUGUUCACUCCUAUGUUGGUGGAAGCAAGCAAAGUGUACACUUUGAUUAUAUUUGAAGCUUUCCAAGCCAAAAAAGAAGAAGGAUGGUGUGCAAAAAAAGAAGGAUGGUGUGCAAAAGAAGAAGGAUGGUGUGCAACAAAAGAAGAAGGAUGAUGUACAGCCUCAAGUACUAGUGGAGAAGUGUGACAACACCAAAGGAGUAAAUAUGGAGCCCCAAGAGUGCAAUGCUAUCAUGAGUUUCACCCAGCUCUUGAUGGCUCCGCCUUGUGGUGAGGAUGAUCUGUUCUAGCGUGCAAGUCCGCUAGAAGUAUUUUGGACAUAGCUAAGUGUAGUAUUUUGGGCUAACUAUAGUCGUCUUUUGGGGCCUAAGUGUACAAAUCAAAUGGCACUAAAUGGCUGUUAAGAGCUCACUGAAUUCACUGGAAAGUGGUACUGAAACUUCAAAUCAUGUACUUCUGAAUUACUUGUGAUGAAGUGGGUUGUCUGAAUCUAAAUAGUGAUGAAUGGCAUGUCUGAAUUUCUUAUGAAUAUGAAUGUAAACAGUAUAUUUGACUGUUGUUUGUACUGUUUCCGGACUAAAAGGCUGAUGUUUAUA
Long non-coding RNA from Aegilops tauschii subsp. strangulata, 2927 nucleotides. RefSeq lists it as uncharacterized. NCBI's taxonomy places the organism in Eukaryota, Viridiplantae, Streptophyta, Magnoliopsida, Poales, Poaceae. The record is from RefSeq and is a predicted model, not a curated record.